RNAcentral lists this ribosomal RNA (467 nucleotides) under uncultured bacterium. Its description in RNAcentral is "partial 16S ribosomal RNA". It matches the Rfam family "Bacterial small subunit ribosomal RNA", at positions 28 to 507 of the family's 1533-position model. The record is from RNAcentral.
GACGAACGCUGGCGGCGUGCUUAACACAUGCAAGUCGAACGGAAAGGCCCUGCUUUUGUGGGGUGCUCGAGUGGCGAACGGGUGAGUAACACGUGAGUAACCUGCCCUUGACUUUGGGAUAACUUCAGGAAACUGGGGCUAUACCGGAUAGGAGCUCCUGCUGCAUGGUGGGGGUUGGAAAGUUUCGGCGGUUGGGGAUGGACUCGCGGCUUAUCAGCUUGUUGGUGGGGUAGUGGCUGACCAAGGCUUUGACGGGUAGCCGGCCUGAGAGGGUGACCGGCCACAUUGGGACUGAGAUACGGCCCAGACUCCUACGGGAGGCAGCAGUGGGGAAUAUUGCACAAUGGGCGGAAGCCUGAUGCAGCAACGCCGCGUGCGGGAUGACGGCCUUCGGGUUGUAAACCGCUUUCGCCUGUGACGAAGCGUGAGUGACGGUAAUGGGUAAAGAAGCACCGGCUAACUACGUG